This 552-nucleotide ribosomal RNA is filed under the name Triticum aestivum (bread wheat). RNAcentral describes it as "partial small subunit ribosomal RNA". The record is from RNAcentral. Lineage: Eukaryota; Viridiplantae; Streptophyta; Magnoliopsida; Poales; Poaceae.
AUGGAUGCUGACCAAAGCUUCUUGGACACCCUUGGUUUUGGUUACACGCAAACACAACCACAAAGUCCAAUUGGAGAGCAGGCAACUCCAUCAACUCAGCAUCAAGCAACACCAUCAACGCAUCAACGUUCUGCAAUAAUAGAGAAAGGAAAAUCCAACAAAGGAAAAAAUUGGUCUAGUGAUGAGGACAAGGUUCUCAUAGCAGCAUGGGCAAAUACAAGUUUGGAUAUUGUUGGGACUGAUCAAAACCGAGAUGCUUAUUGGGCUAGAAUUUCAGAGUACUACAACACACACAAGGAAUCGUCAUGGCUGGAGCGUAAUCCUAAUGCAAUCAAUUGCCGUUACACAUUGAUUAACAGAGAGACCUCCAAAUUUUGUGGUUGCCUUCAGCAGAUUUUAAAUAAGGAAGAAAGUGGAAGGACUAUAGCAGAAAAGACAAACGAUGCACACAUUCUGUUCAAGGAAAUGGAUGUAAAAAAAACGGCCUUUCACAUUGAUGCAUUGCUAUAUAGAGUUUGCAAAGUAUCCAAAGUGGCAGACAAGAGAACUUGA